CCAUGNUACGCUUUGGAAACUGUUUAANUUGAGUGCAGAAGGGGAGAGUGGAAUNCCAUGUGUAGCGGUGAAAUGCGUAGAUAUAUGGAGGAACACCGGUGGCGAAAGCGGCUCUCUGGUCUGUAACUGACGCUGAGGCUCGAAAGCGUGGGGAGCGAACAGGAUUAGAUACCCUGGUAGUCCACGCCGUAAACGAUGAGUGCUAGGUGUUAGGCCCUUUCCGGGGCUUAGUGCCGCAGCUAACGCAUUAAGCACUCCGCCUGGGGAGUACGACCGCAAGGUUGAAACACAAAGGAAUUGACGGGGGCCCGCACAAGCGGUGGAGCAUGUGGUUUAAUUCGAAGCAACGCGAAGAACCUUACCAGGUCUUGACAUCCCGAUGCCCGCUCUAGAGAUAGAGUUUUACUUCGGUACAUCGGUGACAGGUGGUGCAUGGUUGUCGUCAGCUCGUGUCGUGAGAUGUUGGGUUAAGUCCCGCAGCGAGCGCAACCCUUAUUGUUAGUUGCCAUCAUUCAGUUGGACACUCUAGCGAGACUGCCGGUAAUAAACCGGAGGAAGGUGGGGAUGACGUCAAAUCAUCAUGCCCCUUAUGACCUGGGCUACACACGUGCUACAAUGGCUGGUACAACGAGUCGCAAGUCGGUGACGGCAAGCUAAUCUCUUAAAGCCAGUCUCAGUUCGGAUUGUAGGCUGCAACUCGCCUACAUGAAGUCGGAAUCGCUAGUAAUCGCGGAUCAGCACGCCGCGGUGAAUACGUUCCCGGGCCUUGUACACACCGCCCGUCACACCACGAGAGUUUGUAACACCCGGAGUCGGUGAGGUAACCUUUUAGGAG
This 835-nucleotide ribosomal RNA is filed under the name uncultured bacterium. RNAcentral describes it as "bacterial SSU rRNA". It matches the Rfam family "Bacterial small subunit ribosomal RNA", at positions 614 to 1448 of the family's 1533-position model. The record is from RNAcentral.